UCACACAUUUACACAGGAUCUAGGAUAUAUAAAAUUUAUAGGAAUAAAAUUUUAUAUUUUUUCAACAUCGUUUAUUUAGUAAACAAAUCAUAUCAAAAUGAAAGGUAAAAUUUAAACAAUUUUUAAUAAAUUGAUGAGGAUAGAGCUUCUAAAUUCAAGAUCCAGAAUGUUGAUCUCGAUAUUCUAGAUAGUUUAAAAUAUUUUUUAUCAAAAUUUGAAUGAAUUUAAAUUCUUCUACAUCGAUUGUUAAACUACAAACUCGUUAUACUAGUUAUUGAAAAUUAGUAACAUUGAAAUGGUUGAUUAUUAAGUAAACAAUGUAAAAAAACAUAUAAAAUUUUAUUCUUAAAAGGUUUAAAUAUUUUAGAUCAGUUUUAACGGUGUCGAUCAUUAUUAGAAACAUUCUAAGAUUAAAAAUGAGACUCGUACGGGAGCUCCUCUUCUAUUAAUAGUAUAGUAACCAUGCUCUAUCUCUCGCUCUAUAUAUAUAUAUAUAUAUAUAUAGAGAGAGAGAGAGAGAGAGAGAGAGAGAGAGUUUGAUUGGGUUACUAUCGGUAGUAAACUGUUUGGUUUACUACCGAUUUGUUUUUUAUGAUAGAGCUUCCAAAUCGACGAUCGACACCAUUAAACAUGAUCUAGACUAUUUAAAUUAUCUAGAAAUCAAGUUUAAUGAUUUUUUGGCAUCACUAACUGAACGAUCAAAGAAUCACAAAAUCUAUAAUUUUAAUAGCCGAUAUGGUGCGUUUGCUCGUUUAACGGUAUAGAAAAGUUCAAAUCAACUAAAUUUUUGUUAAAAAAUUCUUUAAACUAUUUAAAAUAAGAUCUAGACUCUAAAUCUCAAAUAUAAAAAUUGUAUCAUCACUUUUUGAAGGAUAUUCAUUUCCAGCCAUUCAUUUUUCUGUUCACUUGAUGGACAAGAGAACAAUAUCAAAAAUGUGUGAAAUUUGAUUUUCAGAUAGUUUAAAUAGUUUAGAUCAUAUUUAACGGUGCCGAUCAUUAAUUUGGAAGCUCUAUCAUCGAAAACAAAUCGGUAGUAAACCGAUUCGUUUACUACCGAUAAUAUUCUAGCACAACUAUAUAUAUAUAUAUAUAUAUAUAUAUAUAUAUAUAUUUUCAUGGUAACUCAUUCCAAAUU
Molecule: long non-coding RNA, 1135 nt
Filed under: Ananas comosus (pineapple)
Lineage: Eukaryota; Viridiplantae; Streptophyta; Magnoliopsida; Poales; Bromeliaceae
Description: long non-coding RNA (ACOM_LNC033878)
Source: RNAcentral